This 74-nucleotide transfer RNA is filed under the name Solirubrobacteraceae bacterium. RNAcentral's name for it is "tRNA-Arg". It matches the Rfam family "tRNA". Rfam says of the family: Transfer RNA (tRNA) molecules are approximately 80 nucleotides in length. RNAcentral also lists the same sequence under 1 other name. Lineage: Bacteria; Bacillati; Actinomycetota; Thermoleophilia; Solirubrobacterales; Solirubrobacteraceae. The record is from RNAcentral.
GCCCCGGUAGCUCAGUUGGAUAGAGCAGCGGACUUCUAAUCCGCAGGUCGCAGGUUCGAAUCCUGCCCGGGGCG